GGGCUUGAAAGGAUUCGACAGGAUUCACGAAGGUUCAGUAAGCAAGCAGAGGAUUCCGUUGGCCUCUUAAAAAAGCGGAAACUUAAUAAUCGCAAACACUGACGAUUACUCUUACGCUGUAGCGGCGUAAGCCUGAAGGGAGAAGUUGCCUAUCGGUUCUCUCGAAAGGUCAUUAAGAUGGGCUAGACUCCUAAGCUUUUUAUAGGCGUUAGAGCAGCGAGUUGAAGUUAAACCGUACCUCUCUGAAUCUGUGGCUUGUCCAGUGCAUACCUUCGGAGUACUUAAACUGGAAUAAGCUUGUAGAAGUCUGAAUUAGACGUUUCUUGGACCCGACUCUCGGAUGUCGGCAGGUCCACCA
RNAcentral lists this transfer-messenger RNA (358 nucleotides) under Gammaproteobacteria bacterium. It matches the Rfam family "transfer-messenger RNA". From Rfam's summary of the family: Bacterial tmRNA, also known as 10Sa RNA or SsrA, is named for its dual tRNA and mRNA-like properties. Its role is to liberate the mRNA from a stalled ribosome. To accomplish this part of the tmRNA is used as a reading frame that ends in a translation stop signal. Lineage: Bacteria; Pseudomonadati; Pseudomonadota; Gammaproteobacteria. The record is from RNAcentral. RNAcentral also lists the same sequence under 1 other name.